GACAUGUCUUUAUUUGAGGACUUAUUCAAUUCUUGAGGCUGGAGCACAUCAGGAGAAAGUGCAGACGGACAGCUUUUGUAAGCCAUCUGAGGAGUAUGGGAUCAACCCUCCGGUGGUUGCACAGGGCACGCAUCCCAGACGCCCUUGCCUCUGUAAAUGAUAUACACGAUAUACGCCCUUUAAAUGAUGAUACAUUGAUGGUACCCACGCAGGCUUUCUGAGAGGUAAGGCCUGCUGCAAUGUAAGCAUGAGAGAGACUCAGCUUUCACAUAGUCUCCGCCUUUGCCCACCAUUCACACCCACACAGCAGUCACGGCAGCGGGACUAAGGAUAAAGCACCUCACGGCCGCCCUGCCCGUCUGCCUGCCUGGCACCACCACCAAGAGAGCAGCCAGGGGGUGAGUCACUGCCCAGCUGCCCAAGCCGCUGCCACGUCAGACCCUGGAGCCUGCUUCCGGGGGCUCGUCUGCCCCACGCCCACCCUCCUCCUCCGUGGCGGUACCGGGGGGAUGGGUGAGGACACAGCUCCGGGCUGUCUGCACACGGCCUCACGUGUGGUGGGGCCACGGGGGUCCCACGUGGCUUGUGCCAUGGGAACAAGCAAGCAAGGGGCCCCUUUGCUGCGGCCUCGCUUGGUGGGGGGCGCCCAGGUCUGGUUUUAGAGGACCAGUGGUUUGCCACGGGGGACUGAGCUGCUAUCUAGAGUAUGACAGCCUGAUCCAGGUCAAGUUCAUGCUGCAUUUCCUGGCUGCCCAUGUUUCUCAAACUCACCCACCUGGAUGGCAGAGAGGCCAGAGGGAGGAGAGCCAAAAGAGUCAUGGGGAGGGGCAACCUCAGCCUCAAGAAUCACAGCUGGAGGAAAGUUUGAUGGAAAAGAAUUUGUGAAAUCUUCUCCGGCAGGAAGCAUGGACUUUGGAAAGCUGUCUUUGCACCUCCAUCCAGAAGUGUGCGCCGGAAAAUGUUAGAGUCGGGCUUGUUGCCUCUGUGCUGGCCCUCUGCAAGCCCUCUGUGUAUACCACUAAGCCGCUUCAGGGUCUAAGUAAACAAGAUCAAAUGUGCUAUAUGAAGCAGAAUCAUGGGAGCAUCUUUUCAUCCUGGAUUGAACAAUUUCAAACUUUCUUCUGAUGUUUUUUCAGGGGAGGGGUGGAGGAGGGUCUUAACUCUUAAUAAAAAAAAAAAAAGUCAGACAUACUCAGCAUCUCCUGGAGAUCUGAGGCCUCUGGACCUGGAGGCUUUCAGCACUGAGAGUUGACUAUAAACACCAGUGUGGCCAAAACCCACAACUGAGUGCUGUUACUGCAAAGUGAGUGGAUGGGUGAUUCUUUUUAAUUCAGCGAAUAACAUGGCUUCCCUGUAUCUUUACUUCUCACAGGUGCUGGCUUUGCCAAACCGGUCAAUCUCUUUUAUAGAUAAAUAUGUGCCUGUUUUAUUAAAACAAAAGCCUCUUAAAUGCAGAUGAUACGCUUCCUGCUUGCUAGUCCUCACAGAUUCCUUGUUGCAACCCAAGCGGGCGUGUUACUUUGAUAGUCGUAUGAAAUAACCUUCCCUUUGCCUGGGGAUAUUUAUAACAAAACAUGCAGAAUUAUUGCACCAUAAAGCCUGCUUCACUGAUUCUUGCUG
This is a long non-coding RNA of Capra hircus (goat), 1620 nucleotides long. The record is from Ensembl. Lineage: Eukaryota; Metazoa; Chordata; Mammalia; Artiodactyla; Bovidae.